UCUAUGCCCAUUUCGGAUCUAAAAACAGGUCCAAACUCUUUUAUGUGGAUAACUGUGGGAAAUCUAGAGAUAAUACAUGCGUAGAGGGGAGACUCGGGCGAUCUGGGAAUCCUUGCAUUAACUAGAUUUAUUACAAUCAAAGAGGACACAAAAAACCCUCGAUGGUGAAUUACAGUUUACUAAAUAGCGUAGCGUUGCCAAAACGCAAUUGGGCAAAACAUUAUUAUCUAUUAAUUAUGAUGGUAAAAUAGAGGUUUACCAUGAUUGUGAUGGGUGACGGAAUUUAAGGGAAUGAUUCCAGAGAGGGAGCAUUGAGAGAUAGCUACCAUUUCUACGGAAAGCAGCAGGCGCGCAACUUACCCAAUUCUAAUACAGAGAGGUAGUGACAAUCAAUAACGACAGAGCUAAUGACCGGUGUAAAAACCGGUUUUCUGAUUGUAAUGAGUACAAUGCAAAAAUAUUAACGAGAAACAAUU
Molecule: ribosomal RNA, 476 nt
Filed under: uncultured eukaryote
Lineage: Eukaryota
Description: bacterial SSU rRNA
Rfam family: Eukaryotic small subunit ribosomal RNA
Source: RNAcentral